GUGAGUAUAGCUCAGUGGUAGAGCGCAUGCUUAACAUGCCCGAAGUCCUGGGUUCAAUCCCUAAUACCUUCA
RNAcentral lists this transfer RNA (72 nucleotides) under Camelus bactrianus (Bactrian camel). It matches the Rfam family "tRNA". Rfam says of the family: Transfer RNA (tRNA) molecules are approximately 80 nucleotides in length. RNAcentral also lists the same sequence under 1 other name. Lineage: Eukaryota; Metazoa; Chordata; Mammalia; Artiodactyla; Camelidae. The record is from Rfam by way of RNAcentral.